AACGCACAUUGCGCUCUCUGGUAUUCCGGAGAGCAUGCUUGUUUGAGUAUCAGUAAACACCUCAACUCCUUUAUUGUAGUUGGACUUGAGCUAUCCCAACAGGACUUUUUGUUCCUGGCGGGAGGCUUGAAAUGCAGGUGCAGCUGGACAUUCUCCUGAGCUAAAAGCAUAUUUAUUUAGUCCCGUCAAACGGAUUAUUACUUUUGCUGCAGCUAACAUAAAGGGAGUUUGACCGUAUUGGCUGACUGAUGCAGGAUUUCACAAGGGUCGGCAACGAUUCUUGUAAAACUCGAUCUCAAAUCAAGUAAGACUACCCGCUGAACUUAA
RNAcentral lists this unclassified non-coding RNA (327 nucleotides) under uncultured Mortierella. RNAcentral describes it as "sequence contains ITS2". The record is from RNAcentral. Lineage: Eukaryota; Fungi; Mortierellomycota; Mortierellomycetes; Mortierellales; Mortierellaceae.